UACGGGGGGAGCAAGCGUUGUUCGGAUUUACUGGGCGUAAAGGGCGCGUAGGCGGUCAGCACAAGUCAGUUGUGGAAUCUCCGGGCUUAACUCGGAAAGGUCAACUGAUACUGUGCGACUAGAGUGCAGAAGGGGCAACUGGAAUUCUCGGUGUAGCGGUGAAAUGCGUAGAUAUCGAGAGGAACACCUGCGGCGAAGGCGGGUUGCUGGGCUGACACUGACGCUGAGGCGCGAAAGCCAGGGGAGCGAACGGG
This 254-nucleotide ribosomal RNA is filed under the name uncultured bacterium. RNAcentral's name for it is "partial 16S ribosomal RNA". It matches the Rfam family "Bacterial small subunit ribosomal RNA", at positions 524 to 776 of the family's 1533-position model. The record is from RNAcentral.